RNAcentral lists this long non-coding RNA (605 nucleotides) under Gossypium raimondii (Peruvian cotton). RNAcentral describes it as "long non-coding RNA (GRAI_LNC000477)". Lineage: Eukaryota; Viridiplantae; Streptophyta; Magnoliopsida; Malvales; Malvaceae. The record is from RNAcentral.
ACGAAUUUGGAUAAAAUUUUAAGCCUAUAUUCAAGCCGAACUUGGACAAACGUAAAAAAUAUUAAUAUCAUUUUUAGACUCAACUCAUGAACACCUCUACUAUCACCCCGUUAACUUCUAUGUUUCUAUUACUUCAUACUAUUUAACAAUUGGAAAUUCAAUUCAAUAUAAUUUUCAAAAUGCCUUAGCACACCUUUUUUUUUUCAAUAAAGGUUAGUAAUUAUAUUAAAGAAAGUAUUUAUAAACAAUUUUAUUUACGUUCAUGAAGAAAAAUUAGUAUAUAAAAUGCAAUCUCCUUGAGAAAUAUAGACAAUUUUAAUAAAAUUAUUACAUAUUCAUGAUUUCAAAUACUGUAAGAAUAUACUUACUUUUCGUUUCCGUGUAAUGUUAUUCAUCAUGUGAGUUACAUAAUUUUACUACACUUAUUGCAAUUUUGAUGGUUUUUAUUUUUUCCGUUUAUCAAUUACUCUUAAAUUUUAGUAUAUUAAUUAAUAUUAAUACUUAUACUCGGAGCCACAACCAAUGCUUUAAUUAUCUUUCUCAUGUUUUAUUUAAACAUUGACAUCCAUACUUACCAUUGUUAAACUUUACGUGCAAUCUUUUAG